GACGAACGCUGGCGGCGUGCCUAAUACAUGCAAGUAGAACGCUGAAGAGAGGAGCUUGCUCUUCUUGGAUGAGUUGCGAACGGGUGAGUAACGCGUAGGUAACCUGCCUUGUAGCGGGGGAUAACUAUUGGAAACGAUAGCUAAUACCCCAUAACAAUGGAUGACACAUGUCAUUUAUUUGAAAGGGGCAAUUGCUCCACUACAAGAUGGACCUGCGUUGUAUUAGCUAGUAGGUGAGGUAAAGGCUCACCUAGGCGACGAUCCAUAGCCGACCUGAGAGGGUGAUCGGCCACACUGGGACUGAGACACGGCCCAGACUCCUACGGGAGGCAGCAGUAGGGAAUCUUCGGCAAUGGGGGCAACCCUGACCGAGCAACGCCGCGUGAGUGAAGAAGGUUUUCGGAUCGUAAAGCUCUGUUGUAAGUCAAGAACGGGUGUGAGAGUGGAAAGUUCACACUGUGACGGUAGCUUACCAGAAAGGGACGGCUAACUACGUGCCAGCAGCCGCGGUAAUACGUAGGUCCCGAGCGUUGUCCGGAUUUAUUGGGCGUAAAGCGAGCGCAGGCGGUUUGAUAAGUCUGAAGUUAAAGGCUGUGGCUCAACCAUAGUUCGCUUUGGAAACUGUCAAACUUGAGUGCAGAAGGAGAGAGUGGAAUUCCAUGUGUAGCGGUGAAAUGCGUAGAUAUAUGGAAGAACACCGGUGGCGAAAGCGGCUCUCUGGUCUGUAACUGACGCUGAGGCUCGAAAGCGUGGGGAGCGAACAGGAUUAGAUACCCUGGUAGUCCACGCCGUAAACGAUGAGUGCUAGGUGUUGGAUCCUUUCCGGGAUUCAGUGCCGCAGCUAGUGCAUUAAGCACUCCGCCUGGGGAGUACGACCGCAAGGUUGAAACUCAAAGGAAUUGACGGGGGCCCGCACAAGCGGUGGAGCAUGUGGUUUAAUUCGAAGCAACGCGAAGAACCUUACCAGGUCUUGACAUCCCGAUGCUAUUUCUAGAGAUAGAAAGUUACUUCGGUACAUCGGUGACAGGUGGUGCAUGGUUGUCGUCAGCUCGUGUCGUGAGAUGUUGGGUUAAGUCCCGCAACGAGCGCAACCCCUAUUGUUAGUUGCCAUCAUUCAGUUGGGCACUCUAGCGAGACUGCCGGUAAUAAACCGGAGGAAGGUGGGGAUGACGUCAAAUCAUCAUGCCCCUUAUGACCUGGGCUACACACGUGCUACAAUGGUUGGUACAACGAGUUGCGAGUCGGUGACGGCGAGCUAAUCUCUUAAAGCCAAUCUCAGUUCGGAUUGUAGGCUGCAACUCGCCUACAUGAAGUCGGAAUCGCUAGUAAUCGCGGAUCAGCACGCCGCGGUGAAUACGUUCCCGGGCCU
Molecule: ribosomal RNA, 1369 nt
Filed under: uncultured bacterium
Lineage: Bacteria
Description: bacterial SSU rRNA
Rfam family: Bacterial small subunit ribosomal RNA
Source: RNAcentral